Molecule: long non-coding RNA, 751 nt
Filed under: Mus musculus (house mouse)
Lineage: Eukaryota; Metazoa; Chordata; Mammalia; Rodentia; Muridae
Description: predicted gene 15788
Source: RNAcentral
UUCCACUAGCAGCCUUUGGAUGAAGACAUAGAACUCUCAGCUCCUCCUGCGUCAUGCCUGCCUGGAUACUGCCAUGCUCCCUCUUUGAUGAUAAUGGACUGAACCUCUGAACCUUGUGUACAGACCUAGCUCCUGGGUCUGGAACUUGGCAGAGGUACCUACUACCAAUUUUUGGAAGAACUGUGCUGGUUCCCCGGGCAGAAUCAAACCCAGAGCCAGAAGAAGAAUGCCCUUAGAGAAGGAAAAGUCUGCAUCUCGGGUGGCCCUUCUCCCUUAGGGUUCAGCAGGAUCCUGCCACCCACUGUGUAGACUUACUGGGACUGUGAGCCCUUCCAGUUGCAGGGAGGUCUUAGGGAAACAUAGGGGAUGGGCCUGGCACAAGGACAGUUGUACAUAGCAGCCUGAAGCAGUGCACACAUGAUAGUAUCUGCAGAACACCUAACCAAUGGGCACUGCCCAUUCUCCUGUGCUCUGCAUAUACAAUACUGAUCCAAUGGGCACUGCCCACUCUCCUGCACUCUGCACUAUACAAUGCUGAUCCAAUGGGUACUGCCCAUUCUCCUGUGCUCUGCACUGUACAACGCUGAACCAAUAGGUACUGCCUACUCUCCUGGGCUCUGUACUCUACAAUACUGAUCCAAUGGGCACUGCCCACUCUUCUACACUCUGCACUGUACAACACUGAACCAAUAGGUACUGCCCACUCUCCUGUGCUCUGCACUGUACAAAGUCAACAGCUUCACUCAUCCUU